CCACUUUCUUCAUCCCCCUCUAUCAAAAUGAUCAAAAAGGAAGGCGAGCUUGCUUCUUAUUCCCGUGUUUGAUCUCUUCCAUCUCUGCCUGGCUCGUUGUCACCUAUGUUGAAGAAAGGUUUGGAACCCUGUAGAGAAUGAAGAGGGGCCAAGGAUCUUCCUCUCAACAGUGCUUUUCGAGGCUCCACUCUCCCCCCUGAAUAAGUAAGGCCCCGUUAAGCCUGGGC
Molecule: long non-coding RNA, 227 nt
Filed under: Solanum tuberosum (potato)
Lineage: Eukaryota; Viridiplantae; Streptophyta; Magnoliopsida; Solanales; Solanaceae
Description: long non-coding RNA (STUB_LNC005680)
Source: RNAcentral